Molecule: ribosomal RNA, 950 nt
Filed under: uncultured archaeon
Lineage: Archaea
Description: bacterial SSU rRNA
Rfam family: Archaeal small subunit ribosomal RNA
Source: RNAcentral
UUCCGGUUGAUCCCGCCGGACCCGACUGCUAUUUGGGUGAGGAUAAACCAUGCGAGUUGUAUGGGAUACCUAAAUUUCCCAUAGCAAACUGCUUAGUAACACAUGAUCAACUUGCCCUAUGGAGAAAUAUAACCUCGGGAAACUGAGGAUAAUGCUUCAUAGUUGAAUAGGCUUGGAAAAGUUUUUCAAUGAAAGGGAUAAGAAAAAUGGUUCUUAUCUGCCAUAGGAUAGGAUCGUGCUCGAUUAUGGUUGUUGGUGAGGUAACGGCUCACCAAGCCGAUAAUCGAUAGGGGCCGUGAGAGCGGGAGCCCCAAGAUGGGUACUGAGACAGCGACCCAGGCCUUACGGGGCGCAGCAGGUACGAAACCUCCGCAAUACACGAAAGUGUGACGGGGUUACCCAAAGUGUUCUUAUAGAACUGUGGCAGGUGAGUAAUGUCCCCUGCUAGAAAGGAGAGGGCAAGGCUGGUGCCAGCCGCCGCGGUAAAACCAGCUCUUCAAGUGGUCGGGAUAAUUAUUGGGCUUAAAGUGUCCGUAGCCGGUUUAGUAAGUUCCUGGUAAAAUCAGGUAGCUUAACUAUCUGCAUGCUAGGAAUACUGCUAUACUAGAGGGCGGGAGAGGUCUGAGGUACUACAGGGGUAGGGGUGAAAUCUUAUAAUCCUUGUAGGACCACCAGUGGCGAAGGCGUCAGACUGGAACGCGCCUGACGGUGAGGGACGAAAGCCAGGGGAGCGAACCGGAUUAGAUACCCGGGUAGUCCUGGCCGUAAACGAUGCAUACUAGGUGAUGGUACGGCCAUGAGCCGUGUCAGUGCCGUAGGGAAACCGUUAAGUGUGCCGCCUGGGAAGUACGGUCGCAAGGCUAAACUUAAAGGAAUUGGCGGGGGAGCACCACAAGGGGUGAAGCCUGCGGUUCAAUUGGAUUCAACGCCGGGAAUCACUAGUGCGGCCG